Molecule: ribosomal RNA, 2904 nt
Filed under: Escherichia coli
Lineage: Bacteria; Pseudomonadati; Pseudomonadota; Gammaproteobacteria; Enterobacterales; Enterobacteriaceae
Description: 23S ribosomal RNA
Rfam family: Bacterial large subunit ribosomal RNA
Source: RNAcentral
GGUUAAGCGACUAAGCGUACACGGUGGAUGCCCUGGCAGUCAGAGGCGAUGAAGGACGUGCUAAUCUGCGAUAAGCGUCGGUAAGGUGAUAUGAACCGUUAUAACCGGCGAUUUCCGAAUGGGGAAACCCAGUGUGUUUCGACACACUAUCAUUAACUGAAUCCAUAGGUUAAUGAGGCGAACCGGGGGAACUGAAACAUCUAAGUACCCCGAGGAAAAGAAAUCAACCGAGAUUCCCCCAGUAGCGGCGAGCGAACGGGGAGCAGCCCAGAGCCUGAAUCAGUGUGUGUGUUAGUGGAAGCGUCUGGAAAGGCGCGCGAUACAGGGUGACAGCCCCGUACACAAAAAUGCACAUACUGUGAGCUCGAUGAGUAGGGCGGGACACGUGGUAUCCUGUCUGAAUAUGGGGGGACCAUCCUCCAAGGCUAAAUACUCCUGACUGACCGAUAGUGAACCAGUACCGUGAGGGAAAGGCGAAAAGAACCCCGGCGAGGGGAGUGAAAAAGAACCUGAAACCGUGUACGUACAAGCAGUGGGAGCCUCUUAAUGGGGUGACUGCGUACCUUUUGUAUAAUGGGUCAGCGACUUAUAUUCUGUAGCAAGGUUAACCGAAUAGGGGAGCCGAAGGGAAACCGAGUCUUAACUGGGCGUUAAGUUGCAGGGUAUAGACCCGAAACCCGGUGAUCUAGCCAUGGGCAGGUUGAAGGUUGGGUAACACUAACUGGAGGACCGAACCGACUAAUGUUGAAAAAUUAGCGGAUGACUUGUGGCUGGGGGUGAAAGGCCAAUCAAACCGGGAGAUAGCUGGUUCUCCCCGAAAGCUAUUUAGGUAGCGCCUCGUGAAUUCAUCUCCGGGGGUAGAGCACUGUUUCGGCAAGGGGGUCAUCCCGACUUACCAACCCGAUGCAAACUGCGAAUACCGGAGAAUGUUAUCACGGGAGACACACGGCGGGUGCUAACGUCCGUCGUGAAGAGGGAAACAACCCAGACCGCCAGCUAAGGUCCCAAAGUCAUGGUUAAGUGGGAAACGAUGUGGGAAGGCCCAGACAGCCAGGAUGUUGGCUUAGAAGCAGCCAUCAUUUAAAGAAAGCGUAAUAGCUCACUGGUCGAGUCGGCCUGCGCGGAAGAUGUAACGGGGCUAAACCAUGCACCGAAGCUGCGGCAGCGACACUAUGUGUUGUUGGGUAGGGGAGCGUUCUGUAAGCCUGUGAAGGUGUACUGUGAGGUAUGCUGGAGGUAUCAGAAGUGCGAAUGCUGACAUAAGUAACGAUAAAGCGGGUGAAAAGCCCGCUCGCCGGAAGACCAAGGGUUCCUGUCCAACGUUAAUCGGGGCAGGGUGAGUCGACCCCUAAGGCGAGGCCGAAAGGCGUAGUCGAUGGGAAACAGGUUAAUAUUCCUGUACUUGGUGUUACUGCGAAGGGGGGACGGAGAAGGCUAUGUUGGCCGGGCGACGGUUGUCCCGGUUUAAGCGUGUAGGCUGGUUUUCCAGGCAAAUCCGGAAAAUCAAGGCUGAGGCGUGAUGACGAGGCACUACGGUGCUGAAGCAACAAAUGCCCUGCUUCCAGGAAAAGCCUCUAAGCAUCAGGUAACAUCAAAUCGUACCCCAAACCGACACAGGUGGUCAGGUAGAGAAUACCAAGGCGCUUGAGAGAACUCGGGUGAAGGAACUAGGCAAAAUGGUGCCGUAACUUCGGGAGAAGGCACGCUGAUAUGUAGGUGAAGUCCCUCGCGGAUGGAGCUGAAAUCAGUCGAAGAUACCAGCUGGCUGCAACUGUUUAUUAAAAACACAGCACUGUGCAAACACGAAAGUGGACGUAUACGGUGUGACGCCUGCCCGGUGCCGGAAGGUUAAUUGAUGGGGUUAGCGGUAACGCGAAGCUCUUGAUCGAAGCCCCGGUAAACGGCGGCCGUAACUAUAACGGUCCUAAGGUAGCGAAAUUCCUUGUCGGGUAAGUUCCGACCUGCACGAAUGGCGUAAUGAUGGCCAGGCUGUCUCCACCCGAGACUCAGUGAAAUUGAACUCGCUGUGAAGAUGCAGUGUACCCGCGGCAAGACGGAAAGACCCCGUGAACCUUUACUAUAGCUUGACACUGAACAUUGAGCCUUGAUGUGUAGGAUAGGUGGGAGGCUUUGAAGUGUGGACGCCAGUCUGCAUGGAGCCGGCCUUGAAAUACCACCCUUUAAUGUUUGAUGUUCUAACGUUGGCCCCUGAUCGGGGUUGCGGACAGUGUCUGGUGGGUAGUUUGACUGGGGCGGUCUCCUCCUAAAGAGUAACGGAGGAGCACGAAGGUUGGCUAAUCCUGGUCGGACAUCAGGAGGUUAGUGCAAUGGCAUAAGCCAGCUUGACUGCGAGCGUGACGGCGCGAGCAGGUGCGAAAGCAGGUCAUAGUGAUCCGGUGGUUCUGAAUGGAAGGGCCAUCGCUCAACGGAUAAAAGGUACUCCGGGGAUAACAGGCUGAUACCGCCCAAGAGUUCAUAUCGACGGCGGUGUUUGGCACCUCGAUGUCGGCUCAUCACAUCCUGGGGCUGAAGUAGGUCCCAAGGGUAUGGCUGUUCGCCAUUUAAAGUGGUACGCGAGCUGGGUUUAGAACGUCGUGAGACAGUUCGGUCCCUAUCUGCCGUGGGCGCUGGAGAACUGAGGGGGGCUGCUCCUAGUACGAGAGGACCGGAGUGGACGCAUCACUGGUGUUCGGGUUGUCAUGCCAAUGGCACUGCCCGGUAGCUAAAUGCGGAAGAGAUAAGUGCUGAAAGCAUCUAAGCACGAAACUUGCCCCGAGAUGAGUUCUCCCUGACUCCUUGAGAGUCCUGAAGGAACGUUGAAGACGACGACGUUGAUAGGCCGGGUGUGUAAGCGCAGCGAUGCGUUGAGCUAACCGGUACUAAUGAACCGUGAGGCUUAACCUU